AACGAACGCUGGCGGCAGGCUUAACACAUGCAAGUCGAACGGGUGUAGCAAUACAUCAGUGGCAGACGGGUGAGUAACACGUGGGAACCUUCCUAGAGGUACGGAACAACUCAGGGAAACUUGAGCUAAUACCGUAUAAGCUCUUGCGAGGAAAGAUUUAUCGCCUUUAGACGGGCCCGCGUAGGAUUAGGUAGUUGGUGGGGUAAUGGCCUACCAAGCCUACGAUCCUUAGCUGAUCUGAGAGGAUGAUCAGUCACACUGGGACUGAGACACGGCCCAGACUCCUACGGGAGGCAGCAGUGGGGAAUCUUGGACAAUGGGCGCAAGCCUGAUCCAGCCAUGCCGCGUGAGUGAAGAAGGCCUUCGGGUUGUAAAGCUCUUUUACCAGGGACGAUAAUGACGGUACCUGGAGAAUAAGCCCCGGCAAACUUCGUGCCAGCAGCCGCAGUAA
RNAcentral lists this ribosomal RNA (451 nucleotides) under uncultured bacterium. RNAcentral describes it as "partial 16S ribosomal RNA". It matches the Rfam family "Bacterial small subunit ribosomal RNA", at positions 29 to 523 of the family's 1533-position model. The record is from RNAcentral.